This 468-nucleotide ribosomal RNA is filed under the name uncultured bacterium. RNAcentral's name for it is "partial 16S ribosomal RNA". It matches the Rfam family "Bacterial small subunit ribosomal RNA", at positions 28 to 507 of the family's 1533-position model. The record is from RNAcentral.
GACGAACGCUGGCGGCGUGCUUAACACAUGCAAGUCGAACGGAAAGGCCCUGCUUUUGUGGGGUGCUCGAGUGGCGAACGGGUGAGUAACACGUGAGUAACCUGCCCUUGAGUUUGGGAUAACUUAAGGAAACUGGGGCUAAACCCGGAUAGGAGCUCCUGCUGCAUGGUGGGGGUUGGAAAGUUUCGGUGGUUGGGGAUGGACUCGCGGCUGAUCAGCUUGUUGGUGGGGUAGUGGCUUACCAAGGCUUUGACGGGUAGCCGGCCUGAGAGGGUGACCGGCCACAUUGGGACUGGGAUACGGCCCAGACUCCUACGGGAGGCAGCAGUGGGGAAUAUUGCACAAUGGGAGGAAGCCUGAUGCAGCGACGCCGCGUGCGGGAUGACGGCCUUCGGGUUGUAAACCGCUUUCGCCUGUGACGAAGCGUGAGUGACGGUAAUGGGUGAAGAAGCACCGGCUAACUACGUG